Long non-coding RNA from Carassius auratus (goldfish), 5251 nucleotides. Lineage: Eukaryota; Metazoa; Chordata; Actinopteri; Cypriniformes; Cyprinidae. The record is from Ensembl.
CAGUCGUAUUCUAAUGUAAAAUUCUAUCAAGCAAGACUUUUAUUUUGGUGUGGUGAUGUGACGUCACACUGCUGCGCUAGUGCGGUGUGAUUGUUCCUGUGUAAAACGAGUGAACAUUUGAAAGAGAACGCUUCGGUUAGAUAAGAGAACGAGAGUUUAGCCGCCUGCUGCACUACAAGCUGUAUGAGUCGACGCUCGUCGCUUCAGUCAAUGAUCUGAACGGCGCUACCGGUGAAUUAUAUAGCAGUGGCCCCGCCCCUUUUGGCGUGCUGAAGCGCCAUUGGUCUGUGCAGCUACACAAACGUGAACAAAUCAGGCUUCAGCAGAAAGAGGAUCUUCUGCGUCUGUGAUUCAGCUGGAGCUUACAGGUCACUCCCCCUCGCUCUCUGCUGCGCUAAAGCCCUCCCUCCACAGCUCCUCCCCCACAUCGGAGCCUGCCGUGAACGCGCGGGCUAGUAAACAAUGCAGGGUCACUGAUGACGGUGGAUUAACGGAUAUGGCACAUUCACAGGUAGGGACGAAACAUCAACAAUAUGCUUUACAUUGACUACAAACUUGGUCCUCCAAACAUUACGUAUUUUGUAAGACAUUUAUUGUAACUAUAUGAUGUUGCACUGUGUCUAUAAGUAAUAAAUAGCUAGUAAGAUAAUAUAAUGGUAAUUGACGUUACAGUAUGCAAGUAAUUAUUCUAUCGAUAUGUAAUGCUAAAUAAGGUUUGCAAGUAAAUUAGUUCAGCAACAUGACAAGCCAGUUAAUUAACAGGUUUCAAUUGUUGCUUUGCACAGUGCGUGACAUUUUACUUGUAUGUUAUGCGGCUAGAGUUUUGACACCGAGUCAAUGGGGUCCGACGAGGAAUUCACACCCACAGCGAGUUCGACGAGUCAACGGACGGGGAGGAGAGGAAACCGUGGUGUGCGCGGAGCAUCGGCAGGGGACGUGGGAGACAGGGCAGAGGUCGUCGAGUGGGUCCAACUCCCGAGCACCUCAGCAGAGAGGACAUGGAGCGUGUGGAAAAUUUAAGAUUUGAGAGGAUUGCUUAUGAACGUGAGCAAAUUCAACAAUUGAAUUUACAACAGACACAACAAGUGUUGCAGGAAUGUUUGGCACGGGAUCCAAGCCUAAUCUUCGAUGUCCUCACCCAUUUGGGACCUGCUUCUCCUCCAACAUUACCUCCUGUCCCCGGGCAACUAUCAUGGUGCAUCUGUCAGAGAUGCAGAGAAAAGCCCAAUGUGGUGGAGAGGAAGUGCUGUCUUCAACAGCCACCUUUUUGCAUUUCUACUCUACCACACAUGGAGACAUGCAUUCUGCAGGCGGGAGUCCUGCGUCUGACCUGCGUGCUGUAGUAUGACCUUCCAGAUGAAGGUGAAGACAACAGGCAAUUUAAACAUGCUGCAAAUAGACAGUUUGUGGCUUGGCAGUGUGGGACUCUGGGUCCUGGUCUCAGAGUGGUUAUCCCAAGGGCAAUCCAGGACUGCUUUCCAGAUCCUCAUGGACAAUACAGGGGAUUUAUUCCGAGGAGGGUGUGAUGUGGUGUGCUUUUUAAAAUUUGAAAGCUUUCUUGUUAUUUAAAAAUUUUGAUUAUUUAAAACAAUAUUUAUAUUACAGGUUUUGUAAAGAGAUAUCUGUGAAUGUGCAUCUGUGCAUACUUUCAGCAAGUUUAACCUCCUGGUGGAGCUGGUCGAAACUCCUGAUAAAACCUUCCCUCUCCAUAAUCACAGAAUUCCUCUGCGUGUCUCGCUUGUCAAUGUUGACUAUUGACAGGAUUUCUUUGGUGUCAUUUUCCAUGAACAAAACCCAGGACUGUCCAUAAAAAUUAACACAUGCACAAGAAACAAAAAUCUUGUCAAACCUGGGGACAACAGUGUCAGUAGAGAUGCAUGUGAACAUUGGCUGGGGUGCUAUAAUUAUACUUACCAAGUACUACAACAUUGUCCUUUGACUGCAGCCUGGAAACUACUUCUGCUCUGUUGCUAAUCCAGAAGUCUUUGAUGGGAUCAACACAGUAUGUGUCCUGUAUUUUAAAGAAGGUUGUCCGCUCCACUAUUCCCAUAUUCAUAAACUUGAAGAGCAAUGCAACUUUGGCAUAAUUGUUGCCAGAUAGUAAUAUAUUUGAUGCCAAAAGGAAGUCCCCAGCUUGCAUCCCGUACUUGAAAGUAGGCUGGGAGUUUCAUUGCCACACACAAUGAUUGUUUGGACAGAUCUGGAAAACAUAUUAACAAACACAUUUAACAUUACUUUCUAACUGUUACAAUGAUGCCCUUACAACGGAUUAAACAACACACAAAUGAACAUACCCAUUGCAUGAUGACUGCUCCUCUGGACUUGGUCUGGAUCUGGAAUGGUCCAGGGGCCCGACAUCCCACCAUUGUCAGUGGGUCUUUCACUGUACACAUUGGGAUUGGGAGCAACAGAUUCUCUGCGAGCUGUUUCAAACAGACAUGAUAAGUGAUGGCUGCAGGAUGAUCAAUGUCGUCCUCACUCUGGAUUUUAAUUAUUUCUGGAACUGGUUGGGAUUCUAUUAGCUCUGGGUCUGGAGUGUCAUGAACAGUGUCCUCCAAGCUGAUGACCUGAAGAGCAUCCAGACAUAUUUUUGGUUGAAUGGCACCACUAGUUCUGAUCGAAAAAUAAUAAUAAUAAAAAAAAACAUUUAGAAAAUUAAAGCUGCAAGCAGCGAUGAACGGGCCCUCGCACCCGGGCUCACCGGCAGCGAGUGGCUUUAGUUAAUAGGUGAACGGUGAGAAAUAUGCGUUUAAACUCAUAAAUAUAAGUAGAAUAUAUCAAUGUUUAUUCCAUAUAUGUGCCAAUCUUCCUGUUGCCAGCAGGUGGCGCUAUCAUUAUAAUGGAAUAUUGGCCUUCAGAUGUGUUCAGGGCAGGACUUUUAUCGAACAUGUGAGGUUUGGGGAGGAUUGGACAUUUUAUGCCUGAGUUACAACAACAUCCUAUUUCAUGGCGAAACAAUGAAAUUUGUCAGGCCGCCAUGGACACGCCCUUUAACGAAACCUCAAGAUCUUCGCAAUUUAAGAUCGCAAAAGGCUUUAGAUUACACUGACCAAGUUUGGUGUUGAUCUGAAUAAAUAUCUAGGAGGAGUUCGUUAAAGUACAACCCCUGAAAAUGGCCAAAACAACACUAAUUUUGCAGAGAAAAUUCCAAAUAACUGACUUCCUGUUGGGAUUCGGACUUCGUACCAAGAGACUUUUUCGUAGAUAUUGAUGGGUUACAUGUGUGUACCGAUUUUUGUACAUGUACGUGAAACAUAGCUCAAGGCGCACUCCGUUUAAAGUGUAUACGCACUCCGUUGAAAGUGUAUAGGUGGCGCUAUUGAGCCAUUUUGCCACACUCGAUGGAAUAUUGGCCUUCAGAUCUGUCCAGGCCAGGACCCUUAUCACACAAGUGAAGUUUGGGCAAGAUCGGACAUUUUAUGUCUGAGUUAUAACAUCUUUUAUUCCAAUGGCAAGACAUUGAACUUCAUCACGGCGCCAUGGACACACCUUUUAACAAAAACUCAAGAUCUUCACAACUAAACAUCACACAGGUCUUUAGAUUAGACUGAUCACAAAAAAGACACUGAUGUCAUAAAAUUUCUAGGAGUAGUUUGUCACAGUGUAAAAUAUGUAACUUCCUGUUGCCAAUAGGUGGCGCUAUGACUAUAACUGAAUAUUGGCAUGUAGAUCUGUUCAGGUCAAGAGUCUUAUCCAACAUGUGAAGUUUGGGGCAGAUUGGACAUUGUAUGUCUGAGUUACAGCAACUUCCUUUUUCAUGGCGAAACAUCGAAAUUUGUCAGGCCGCCAUGGACCCGCCCUUUAACGAAACCUCAAGUCCUUCGCAAUUUAUUAUCGCAAAGGGCUUUAGAUUACACUGACCAAGUUUGGUGUUGAUCUGAAUAAAUCUCUAGGAGGAGUUCGUUAAAGUACAACCCCUGAAAAUGGCAAAAACAACAGCAAUUUUGAAGGGAAAAUUCAAAAUAACCGACUUCCUGUUGGGAUCCGGAUUUCGUACCAAGAGACUUUUUUGUAGGUAUUGGAGUGUUACAUGUGUGUACCAAUUUUUGUACAUGUACGUGAAACAUAGCUCGAGGCGCACUCCGUUGAAAGUGUAUAGGUGGCGCUAUAGAGCCAUUCUUCCACACCCGGUGGAAUAUUGGCCUGAAGAUCUGUUCAGGCCAGGACUCUUAUCACACAUGUGAAGUUUGGGGAAGAUCGGACAUCUUAUGCCUGAGUUAUAACAUCUUUUAUUCGCAUGGCGAGACAUCGAACUUCGUCGCGGCGCCAUGAACAAGCCUUUUAACGAAAACUCAAGAUCUUCACAACUGAACAUCGCACAGGCCUUUAGAUUAGACUGACCACAAAAAAGACAUUGAUGUCAUAAAAUUUCUAGGAGUAGUUCGUCGCAGCGUAAAAUAUGUCACUUCCUGUUGCCAAUAGGUGGCGCUAUGACUAUAACUGAAUAUGGGCAUGUCAAUCUGUUCAGGUUCGGAGUCUCAUCAAACAUGUGAAGUUUGGGGCAGAUUGGUCAUUGUAUGUGUGAGUUAUAGCAACUUCAUUUUUCAUGGCGAAUCAUCGAAAUUCGCCAGGCCGCCACGGACACGCCCUUCAACGAAAAGUCAGGAUCUUCGCAAUUUAACAUCGCAAAGGCCUUUAGAUUAGGCAUACCAAAUUUGGUGUUGAUUUGAAGAACUCUCUAGGAGGAGUUCGUUAAAAUACAACACAUGGAAAUGACCAAAAUUACACAAAAUAUGCUCAUAAUAUUAAAAAUAACCGACUUCCUGUUGGGUUUAGAAUUUCGCUCCAAGAGUCUUUUUUGUAGGUAUUGGUGUGUUACAUAUGUGUGCCAAUUUUCGUGCAUGUACGUGAAACAUAGCUGGAAGGCUGUUGAUUUUCUUGGUAUAGGUGGCGCUGUCGAGCCAUUUUGCCACACCCUCUUCUGAAUCCUAUAUCAGACGAAAAUUUUCACCAGGUUUGACGCGUGUGCAAAGUUUCAUGACUUUUUGAGCAUGUUAAAGCCCUCAAAAAUGCGAUUCAUUCGGGAGAAGAAGAAGAAGAAGAAUAAAUAUAGCUGCAAGCAGCGAUGGCGGGCUCAAGCCACCAAUGCCAUCGCCACCCCGGUGGCAUCAGGUAAACUGUGGCCAGCGGGCACAUGCAUUCACAAUAUCCCUCUGGCAGUGAGGUUUUAAAGGAUAUGGCGGUUAAAGGGUUAAUCCGAAUCAUCUAGACUUUAAAAUCACAUUCACAGAACAAUAUAUAUAUAUAUAUA